GAUGAACGCUGACAGAAUGCUUAACACAUGCAAGUCAACUUGAACGUCUGUUUGGGUGGCGGACGGGUGAGUAACGCGUAAAGAACUUUCCUCACAGAUAGGGACAACAGUUGGAAACGAAUGCUAAUCACUGAUAUUAUGAUUAUAUGGCCGCGUAUAAUUAUGAAAGCUAUAUGCGCUGUGAGAGAGCUUUGCGUUCCUUUAUCUAGUUGGAGAGGUAACGGCUCACCAAGGCGAUGAUGGGUAGCCGGCCUGCGAGGGUGAUCGGCCACAAGGGGAGGGAGAGAGGGCCCUUCCACAUACGGGCGGCAGGAGUCGGGAGUGUAGGAUAAUGGACCAAGAGUCUGAUGAAGGAAUACUGUGUGGACGAUGAAGUUUUUCGGAAUGUAAAGUGCUUUCAGUUGCGAAGAAGAAAAUGACGGUACCAACAGAAGAAGUGACGGCUAAAUACGUG
Molecule: ribosomal RNA, 454 nt
Filed under: uncultured bacterium
Lineage: Bacteria
Description: partial 16S ribosomal RNA
Rfam family: Bacterial small subunit ribosomal RNA
Source: RNAcentral